UACAAUCAAGUGCUCUAUAUUUGCCCCGGUGGGUAUAAGCUUCCCUUAUUUGUUUCACGUUCCUUGACCAAUUAAAGUAAGCGCUACUUUCAAACCAGCCUAACCAUCCACUGAUAUCUUGCUUAUAGGACAUUUUAGAUGUGUAGGUAGCAAUGCACUAACAAUAUGUGUGAAGAUAGAUAGAUGACAGAUUAAUUACUAUAAUACACCGAUAUGUUUACAUAUAUACAGUAAUGUAUAGGUGUCCUUUCUCUAGCCAACUCUCAUCUAAUCCUUAACAGCUGGUAAUGGUGCUAACAUUUAGUGAUUAGAAGUUACUCUAUUUAGCGUGUUGUAUCCUUCUUCUGUGCGUUUUGGUUACAGGUUAUACGAUUAGGUUUGCGAGAACAGUAGUGAACUAAACUUCCCAGUGAGAGGUCUUCACACCAGGGAAGUGUUACUUCGCUGCAGCAGCCCUGCCUCGUCACUCAUUAGGAAGCUGCAGGUUGUCAGGCGUUUCUCUUGCGCGCACACGCACGCACACACAAAACCUCAGCACUAAAACUAAAUUAAGAAGCCGAUGAUUAAGACAAGCGUCUGCGGGGCCUGUCAUUUCAGCAUCCUUCCAUCAUAACAUUGUGGCACAGGGAAAUUUGCUUGAAAACCUGGAAAAAAAAUUCUCUGGGAGAGCCUCCUAUUUGAGAUCCAUAAAUGCUAACUUCAAGGAUAGACUGGGAGCUGCUUCGGAUGCAAGCUAGGAAUCCACAGAGGAAAUGGAUGUUGCAAAGACCACUGGGCGAUCCAGGCACUUCCUUAAACUCUGAUACAAAGAAUUAAGAACAAUGACUACCUUCGGGUCUGGCCAUUCUAAGAACAUAUAAGCAAUACCAUUUCACAUAUUCUAACAAUUUGCAAAUCAUGUUCAACUUUUUUAUGUUGUGGAUAUAUAUUUUGUCAUAUUAAAUUCAACUGUGAGAGUCUUUGUAGCAUUCUUCGAGCAUUUUCUGGCAUCAGCGUAUUAUACAGAUAGUUGCUUAUCGUGUUAAGAUCUUGAUUUAUUUGUAAAACUAUACGUAUGCGUCUUAGCAUAUUGCAGCAACCCUGAGCGAAAUAACCGAGAGCGCUGCAUCUUUCUAAUAUGCAUUAUUUCCAUACGUGAACAGUUCAUUUGUGUGUCUAUCUAUCUAGAGUCUAUACCUAAAGAUAGUCAAGUACCUCUUGGACUUGUUACCUGUAAUCGACCCAAAAAAGAACAUACGAACAGUAUACAGAUAAUUGCUCUAAUUGCUUGGAGAAAUGUAAUUGGCGUUAUAUUUUUCUGUUGCACUGUGUCUAUACUUAUUCUCCCUUGAUAAAUAUUAAAAACUGAACUGCUUGUCUCGACAUGUUCCUCUGUUUUGAAGCCCAAGAAGCACAACAAAAUCAUUACAAUAAAGUGAUCAAACCCUAUUACGCAUGGAA
This is a long non-coding RNA of Caretta caretta (loggerhead turtle), 1440 nucleotides long. RefSeq lists it as uncharacterized. The record is from RefSeq and is a predicted model, not a curated record. Lineage: Eukaryota; Metazoa; Chordata; Testudines; Cheloniidae.